AGUUUAAAGAAAUUAUUUUAAAUGAAUCCUGCCCAGUGAAAAUUAUAAAUGGCCGCAGUACCCUGACUGUGCAAAGGUAGCAUAAUCAAUUGGCUUUUAAUUAAAGUCUGGAAUGAAUGGAGUUUUGGAAAAAUACUGUCUUAAAAAUAUUAAGUUGAAUUUAAUUAUUAGGUGAAAAUACCUAUAUAUAGAAAAAAGACGAGAAGACCCUUAGAGUUUUUAUAAUAUUUAAUAUAUCUAUUAAAUUUAUUUUUGUUGGGGCGACAAUUAAACAUAUAAACUUUAAUUAAUUUUUCACAACGAAAUUGUUAUAAAAGAUUAAAUUACCUUAGGGAUAACAGCAUAAUUUAAAAAAGUUUGUGACCUCGAUGUUGGACUAGAAACUAAAUGGCAAGCAGUCAAAAUAGAUUUGUUCUGUUCGAACAAUAUAAUUCU
RNAcentral lists this ribosomal RNA (435 nucleotides) under Amerianna sp. 2 PGA-2018. RNAcentral's name for it is "partial large subunit ribosomal RNA". The record is from RNAcentral. Lineage: Eukaryota; Metazoa; Mollusca; Gastropoda; Planorbidae.